GGGUGAUUUCCGGAUUGAAUUGUUGUUGAAUUUUGAAAUGUGAGAUCUUGAUCAUCGUAAGUCCGUUUUAAGUCAUUCUUGGGGCUAACUUGUAAAGUUUUUCGCAAGGAUCGUCGUGGUAUAAUCUGUUUGGGUUGAAAGGGUUUCGUUUUUCCGAAAAUUGGUGAUCAAGGGGCUGCCCUUUUUAAUUAUUGUGGCUGAUUUGCGGUGUUGUAGGCAUCUGUUUGUGCUAAAAUUUUGGGAUAUUAGUUUAGUAAGGUAGUUGGGACGUUUCCACGGAUUCGAUUUUGAGAUUCUAAGUGUGGGCCCCACAAUCCCGUUUUAGACCCGAUUUUGGGUCCGUCUCCGAAAAAUAUAAUUUUAGUGUCAAUAUAUUCGUAAUGACAAGGUGAUUAACCUUUUGUUAGAGGGGAAGCAUUUGGAGACCGUUCGGAGAGGAAAAGAUCCGGUACCGUGAGCUGGAGCACGCGUGAUCGGCUUUCAGGUCCGGGCACUAGUAGCCAGCGUUGAUCGAGCUUGGAGUAGACUUAUCCGGAGACGGGGGUGAGCACACGGCGUUUUGUACUAUUUCAGUCUCCAUCUGUAUAUAUAGAC
Solanum tuberosum (potato) is the source of this 594-nucleotide long non-coding RNA. RefSeq lists it as uncharacterized. Lineage: Eukaryota; Viridiplantae; Streptophyta; Magnoliopsida; Solanales; Solanaceae. The record is from RefSeq and is a predicted model, not a curated record. The transcript is spliced from 2 exons.